Long non-coding RNA from Sinocyclocheilus grahami, 264 nucleotides. RefSeq lists it as uncharacterized. Lineage: Eukaryota; Metazoa; Chordata; Actinopteri; Cypriniformes; Cyprinidae. The record is from RefSeq and is a predicted model, not a curated record. The transcript has 3 exons. The annotation marks the transcript as partial.
AACGAUAGAGCAGGCGGUCAAUGAUAUCCGCACGGUUGCCUUGCCUUCAGAAGAUGGAGAGGUUCUUAGCGUGUGGCUGCUAGCAGAAAUUGAUCACUGGAACAAUGAAAAAGAGAGACUGGUACUUAUAACUGAGAGGUCUUUGUUGGUGUGCAAAUAUGACUUCAUAAACCUCCAGUGUCAGCAGGUGGUCCGAAUUUCCCUGAACGCUGUGGACACGAUCUCAGUCGGCGAGUUUGAGUUUCCCCCCAAAUCCCUCAACAA